GCUAAGUCUACUUUCACGGUCUAUCCAUUUUAAAUCUCUCACGCUUCUCCUCUUCCCCACUAUCUGCAUCCAUAAUUGUUUUGUCUACAUAAGAGCAUCCCCAUUAGUGAACCCCCUUUUGGGGUUCAAAAGAAUUUUUUAAUAUAUUUCUGGUUAAACCUGUAUAUUUUUUGCUCUUCCAUUAGUGAACUUGAAGAUGAGGUUCUUAGGAAUAAAAAAAAUUAUAAUAUUUUUUAAAAGUUUUUAUUCAAUACAAUGAGAAUUCAUGAACAUACAAAGAUUAUUCAUCUUGAUUACCAAACUUUUGCCAUAUAUUUUCGACUAAAUCAGCUUGCAAACGAGCAUGUAUCCGUUGAUCCCGAAUUUGAUUGUGAAUGCCAAGCAUAUUACCGAUAUUGGAAAGGAUGUGCGUAGAGUACGAAAAAUCAACUUGGGAACUUCUGCUCGACUCUCCUGCUACGAAGUCAGAUGUUCAAGAGGUUUUACAUGAGAUAGAACAAGUUUGGUAUUAGAAGAGAUGGAAUUUUGGUUAAGUGUUUUUGAAAAAAAAAAAUUGUGAUAGAACUAGUAUACAAGUACAGAGACAAUAUUACAAGAGAGAAAGGAACUACAAGGUUUUAGAUUCAGAGAUAAUUGAUAGAAGAAAAGAGAGACAUAUUUUAUAUAGAGUG
Molecule: long non-coding RNA, 671 nt
Filed under: Brassica napus (rape)
Lineage: Eukaryota; Viridiplantae; Streptophyta; Magnoliopsida; Brassicales; Brassicaceae
Description: long non-coding RNA (BNAP_LNC011523)
Source: RNAcentral